Molecule: long non-coding RNA, 507 nt
Filed under: Fukomys damarensis (Damara mole-rat)
Lineage: Eukaryota; Metazoa; Chordata; Mammalia; Rodentia; Bathyergidae
Description: lncRNA (ENSFDAG00000029622.1)
Source: RNAcentral
GGGCGAGCGGGAGAGGGAGCUGGGGCUGCCUGCUCCCUGCCUCGGCCGGCAGCCUGGACGCUUCUGCAGUUAGCUUUCUGCCGGGGUGAGGGAGGUAAUGGCCCAGAAGGCUUGACCUCCCUCCACCAGUUCCUAGUGCCCGGACACCUUGGGAUGCGUUCUUGCAAAGAUUAGGCAAACUGCGCCCUGGCCGACCAAGUGGAGUGGGGUGAGAGGGCAGAGGAGCCCUGGCGGACAGCGGAGGCAGGGCAGACUGGUCAUUCUUGUAUCAGAAGGCUGACCAAGUUUCGGGUGACAUGGCCCAGGGGAAUAAUUAUGGGCAGACCAGCAAUGGGGUGGCAGAUGAAUCACCCAACAUGCUGGUGUACAGAAAGUCUUGCAGGCCUUGAGAGGAAAGUGGUGGGAACGCAAAGGGAGGCAGAUGACAGCAUUGGAGGACUUGAUGCCUUUGAGGAGCUCCUGGUCUGGUCUGUCUCACUGGUGAUCUGCUUUGGAGUGGCUUUCUAA